GGAUAUGUAGCUCAGUGGUAGAGCUUAUGUAGCACACACAAGGCCCUGGGUUCAAUUCCCAGCACCUCUA
RNAcentral lists this transfer RNA (70 nucleotides) under Heterocephalus glaber (naked mole-rat). It matches the Rfam family "tRNA". From Rfam's summary of the family: Transfer RNA (tRNA) molecules are approximately 80 nucleotides in length. Their secondary structure includes four short double-helical elements and three loops (D, anti-codon, and T loops). Further hydrogen bonds mediate the characteristic L-shaped molecular structure. tRNAs have two regions of fundamental functional importance: the anti-codon, which is responsible for specific mRNA codon recognition, and the 3' end, to which the tRNAs corresponding amino acid is attached (by aminoacyl-tRNA synthetases). tRNAs cope with the degeneracy of the genetic code in two manners: having more than one tRNA (with a specific anti-codon) for a particular amino acid; and 'wobble' base-pairing, i.e. permitting non-standard base-pairing at the 3rd anti-codon position. The record is from Rfam by way of RNAcentral. Lineage: Eukaryota; Metazoa; Chordata; Mammalia; Rodentia; Bathyergidae.